GACAAAUAGGUGGAGGUGACUGUGGUCUACACCAAAGCUGCCUCCUGGUGGCCACCCAGACCUCUGCCUGCUGGACUCCUCUGAGAAAGGAAGUUCCAGAACUGGUGGGGUACAGAAAUUGUGCUUGCAAGGUCCAGGGGCCCCAUGGUCUGGCAGCUGAGACGCUCCUCGGGCUGGCCCAGGUGCUGACCUUGCCACAGGCAGGUGAAUGUCCUUAAAGCUCCAGGCAGGGACAAGAAGCUUUUCCUCAACCUCCCAUCACCCCUUCCCAGGAAACCUCUUGAUUUUAUGACUGUUCAGAUACUGCUCUGGAUU
Long non-coding RNA from Pipistrellus kuhlii (Kuhl's pipistrelle), 315 nucleotides. RefSeq lists it as uncharacterized. The transcript has 3 exons. The record is from RefSeq and is a predicted model, not a curated record. Lineage: Eukaryota; Metazoa; Chordata; Mammalia; Chiroptera; Vespertilionidae.